RNAcentral lists this long non-coding RNA (240 nucleotides) under Capra hircus (goat). Its description in RNAcentral is "lncRNA (ENSCHIG00010002292.1)". The record is from RNAcentral. Lineage: Eukaryota; Metazoa; Chordata; Mammalia; Artiodactyla; Bovidae.
GUGCCGCUCCAGGCCCCCAGGGCUUCCCAGCGCAUUCUAGCUGGAGCCACAGUGACUCCUGGGACGCACCUGCCAGCUGCAGAUUCCAGCUGUGCUAUUUGCCUUCCAGGGACAUUCCGACUCAACCCACCCUAGGUGACCACCACCACGGCCCUCUUCAUAAAACAUGAACUUUGAAAUGGUUUCUCCAACUCUCCUACUGAAAUGCCUCAGAUUUUAUAGCAUUGAAAUCAUGUUGGA